CCUACGGGAGGCAGCAGUGGGGAAUAUUGGACAAUGGGGGGAACCCUGAUCCAGCCAUGCCGCGUGUGUGAAGAAGGCCCUCGGGUUGUAAAGCACUUUCAGUGAGGAAGAACGCCUGGUGGUUAAUACCCAUCAGGAAAGACAUCACUCACAGAAGAAGCACCGGCUAACUCCGUGCCAGCAGCCGCGGUAAUACGGAGGGUGCGAGCGUUAAUCGGAAUUACUGGGCGUAAAGCGCGCGUAGGUGGCUUGAUAAGCCGGUUGUGAAAGCCCCGGGCUCAACCUGGGAACGGCAUCCGGAACUGUCAAGCUAGAGUGCAGGAGAGGAAGGUAGAAUUCCCGGUGUAGCGGUGAAAUGCGUAGAGAUCGGGAGGAAUACCGGUGGCGAAGGCGGCCUUCUGGACUGACACUGACACUGAGGUGCGAAAGCGUGGGUAGCAAACAGGAUUAGAUACCCGGGUAGUC
This 465-nucleotide ribosomal RNA is filed under the name Vreelandella stevensii. RNAcentral describes it as "partial 16S ribosomal RNA". It matches the Rfam family "Bacterial small subunit ribosomal RNA", at positions 338 to 795 of the family's 1533-position model. Lineage: Bacteria; Pseudomonadati; Pseudomonadota; Gammaproteobacteria; Oceanospirillales; Halomonadaceae. The record is from RNAcentral.